This 451-nucleotide ribosomal RNA is filed under the name uncultured bacterium. RNAcentral's name for it is "partial 16S ribosomal RNA". It matches the Rfam family "Bacterial small subunit ribosomal RNA", at positions 29 to 523 of the family's 1533-position model. The record is from RNAcentral.
AACGAACGCUGGCGGCAGGCCUAACACAUGCAAGUCGAACGGAUGUAGCAAUACAUUAGUGGCGCACGGGUGCGUAACACGUGGGAAUGUACCCUCUGGUAAGGAAUAAUAUUUGGAAACGAAUACUAAUACCUUAUAAUAUCUUCGGAUCAAAGAUUUAUCGCCAGAGGAUCAGCCCGCGUCUGAUUAGCUAAUUGGUGAGGUAAUGGCUCACCAAGGCGACGAUCAGUAGCUGGUCUGAAAGGAUGAUCAGCCACACUGGGACUGAGACACGGCCCAGACUCCUACGGGAGGCAGCAGUGAGGAAUAUUGCGCAAUGGAGGAAACUCUGACGCAGCCAUGCCGCGUGAGUGAAGAAGGCCUUAGGGUUGUAAAGCUCUUUCAAUGGUGAAGAUAAUGACGGUAGCCAUAGAAGAAGCCCCGGCUAAACUCGUGCCAGCCGCCGCCGUAA